This 692-nucleotide ribosomal RNA is filed under the name uncultured bacterium. RNAcentral describes it as "bacterial SSU rRNA". It matches the Rfam family "Bacterial small subunit ribosomal RNA", at positions 186 to 898 of the family's 1533-position model. The record is from RNAcentral.
UCGCAUGAACACUAUAGCAAAGAUUUAUCGGCUAUAGGAUGGACCCGCGUUGGAUUAGCUAGUUGGUGAGAUAACAGCCCACCAAGGCAACGAUCCAUAGCCGGCCUGAGAGGGUGAACGGCCACAUUGGGACUGAGACACGGCCCAAACUCCUACGGGAGGCAGCAGUGGGGAAUAUUGCACAAUGGGCGCAAGCCUGAUGCAGCGACGCCGCGUGAAGGAUGAAUGUCUUCGGAUUGUAAACUUCUAUCAGCAGGGAAGAAAAUGACGGUACCCAAGGAGGAAGCCACGGCUAACUACGUGCCAGCAGCCGCGGUAAUACGUAGGUGGCAAGCGUUGUCCGGAUUUACUGGGCGUAAAGGGAGCGUAGGUGGAUAUUUAAGUGGGAUGUGAAAUCCCCGGGCUUAACCUGGGGGCUGCAUUCCAAACUGGAUGUCUAGAGUGCAGGAGAGGAGAGUGGAAUUCCUAGUGUAGCGGUGAAAUGCGUAGAGAUUAGGAAGAACACCAGUGGCGAAGGCGACUCUCUGGACUGUAACUGACACUGAGGCUCGAAAGCGUGGGGAGCAAACAGGAUUAGAUACCCUGGUAGUCCACGCCGUAAACGAUGGGUACUAGGUGUAGGGGUUUCGAACCUCUGUGCCGCCGUUAACACAAUAAGUACCCCGCCUGGGGAGUACGGUCGCAAGAUUAAA